CUGCCAAUCCGCAUUUGGACCACGUGGUAGGCUAUGGCUAAAACCUGUUCUCACUCUGAGAGGAGACCCGUGCUCUGUAGUGAGCCGGCGAUGG
Long non-coding RNA from Maniola jurtina (meadow brown), 94 nucleotides. RefSeq lists it as uncharacterized. The record is from RefSeq and is a predicted model, not a curated record. The transcript has 3 exons. Lineage: Eukaryota; Metazoa; Arthropoda; Insecta; Lepidoptera; Nymphalidae.